RNAcentral lists this ribosomal RNA (404 nucleotides) under uncultured bacterium. RNAcentral describes it as "bacterial SSU rRNA". It matches the Rfam family "Bacterial small subunit ribosomal RNA", at positions 355 to 775 of the family's 1533-position model. The record is from RNAcentral.
UGGGGAAUCUUGCACAAUGGGCGCAAGCCUGAUGCAGCAACGCCGCGUGGGGGAUGAAGGCCCUCGGGUCGUAAACCCCUUUCAGCAGGGACGAUAAUGACGGUACCUGCAGAAGAAGCCCCGGCCAACUACGUGCCAGCAGCCGCGGUAACACGUAGGGGGCAAGCGUUGUCCGGAUUUAUUGGGCGUAAAGAGCUCGUAGGCGGCUUGGUAAGUCAGGUGUGAAACCCCCGGGCUCAACCCGGGGACGCCACCUGAUACUGCUAUGGCUUGAGUCCGGUAGGGGAGCGUGGAAUUCCUGGUGUAGCGGUGAAAUGCGCAGAUAUCAGGAGGAACACCAGCGGCGAAGGCGGCGCUCUGGGCCGGAACUGACGCUGAGGAGCGAAAGCGUGGGGAGCAAACAG